This 230-nucleotide long non-coding RNA is filed under the name Sorghum bicolor (sorghum). Its description in RNAcentral is "long non-coding RNA (SBIC_LNC003964)". The record is from RNAcentral. Lineage: Eukaryota; Viridiplantae; Streptophyta; Magnoliopsida; Poales; Poaceae.
GUAGAAAGGGAAUCAAACGGUCGCAAAAGGUUUAGCUUGCAACCGUUUGCUGACAAACGAAGCCCACAUACACAUAUACUACAGCAGUUAAGUCCGUACUCCUAAACAACAGGGUUCUAUUAGGCCUCGUUUGGUUUCUUUCAUGAAAAGGUUUAGGGUAUCGUAACAUUUUUGUUUAUAUUUAAUAAUUAUUAUUUAAUUAUAAACUAAUAAGGUUUAAAAAAUUCGUC